RNAcentral lists this ribosomal RNA (559 nucleotides) under uncultured bacterium. RNAcentral describes it as "bacterial SSU rRNA". It matches the Rfam family "Bacterial small subunit ribosomal RNA", at positions 338 to 916 of the family's 1533-position model. The record is from RNAcentral.
CCUACGGGAGGCAGCAGUGGGGAAUCUUGCACAAUGGAGGAAACUCUGAUGCAGCGAUGCCGCGUGAGUGAAGAAGGCCCUUGGGUUGUAAAGCUCUUUCGUCGGGGAAGAAAAUGACUGUACCCGAAUAAGAAGGUCCGGCUAACUUCGUGCCAGCAGCCGCGGUAAUACGAAGGGACCUAGCGUAGUUCGGAAUUACUGGGCUUAAAGAGCUCGUAGGUGGUUAAAAAAGUUGAUGGUGAAAUCCCAAGGCUUAACCUUGGAACUGCCAUCAAAACUUUUUAGCUAGAGUGUGAUAGAGGUAAGUGGAAUUUCUAGUGUAGAGGUGAAAUUCGUAGAUAUUAGAAAGAACACCAAAUGCGAAGGCAACUUACUGGGUCACUACUGACACUGAGGAGCGAAAGCAUGGGUAGCGAAGAGGAUUAGAUACCCUCGUAGUCCAUGCCGUAAACGAUGUGUGCUAGACGUUGGAAAUAUAUUUUUCAGUGUCGCAGCGAAAGCAUUAAGCACACCGCCUGGGGAGUACGACCGCAAGGUUAAAACUCAAAUGAAUUGACGG